This is a long non-coding RNA of Manis pentadactyla (Chinese pangolin), 677 nucleotides long. RefSeq lists it as uncharacterized. The transcript has 3 exons. The record is from RefSeq and is a predicted model, not a curated record. Lineage: Eukaryota; Metazoa; Chordata; Mammalia; Pholidota; Manidae.
ACACUGUAUGGAGAGUAUCCCUCUGCCCAUGGCCACCCAUUAUUUUUAUAAAGUCUAAUUUUCCCAGAUCAAAUUAUUGUGCUCUAAAUUUUACUAAGAUGAUUCUUCUGUUAAUUUUUAGACUCUUUAACCAUGUGCAGUUUUAGCUGUUGUUGGUUCUAUUUUCUGUUCAUAAUUUCUAUCAGUUAAAAAUUAUUAACUGAUUAAAAGACAAUUGUUUCUUGGUUAAUCCAUGUGAAAUUUGAGGCAGUGUUCCUUAAUUACUGUUCUAAAAUGAAGAAAAAGUCUUUGGUGUCAAUAUAGGUUUAUAUAUAAAAUGAGGAUGGCGGCCUCUCCUGCAGGGUCGUCGAGAUGAAACGAAGUGGCCAACCCCUCAGCUCAUGGCCCAACAGUGGCUUUUCGAAUACACUGGGUUCCCACACUCUGAGGUGCCUGCGCUGAGAUGUGGGCAUGGGGAUGUGCUCAGCAGCACUGCUGUGGUUCCCAGGGCUAAAUCCCCCUAACCAGAACCGCAAGCGCUGUUACAACAACUAUCUCCAUGUGAAAAAAGCAGCUACAGGACUGAAUACACCACGGGUCACAGCUAUGGAGAAACCAUGCACCGGAGACACAGCGCAAGGACACACCUCAACAGGGAAUCUGUGACUGUCUCUGGUACUGGGGUUUUGGAUGGCUGC